Molecule: transfer RNA, 76 nt
Filed under: Candidatus Sumerlaeota bacterium
Lineage: Bacteria; Candidatus Sumerlaeota
Description: tRNA-Ala
Rfam family: tRNA
About the family: Transfer RNA (tRNA) molecules are approximately 80 nucleotides in length. Their secondary structure includes four short double-helical elements and three loops (D, anti-codon, and T loops).
Source: RNAcentral
GGGGGUAUAGCUCAGUUGGGAGAGCGCUACACUGGCAGUGUAGAGGUCAGGGGUUCAACUCCCCUUACCUCCACCA